Non-coding RNA from Pongo abelii (Sumatran orangutan), 317 nucleotides. Lineage: Eukaryota; Metazoa; Chordata; Mammalia; Primates; Hominidae. The record is from Rfam.
GGACGUGAGGGUGAUCUGGCUGCGAUAUCUGUCACCCCAUUGAUUGCCAGGGUUGAUUCGCCUGAUCUGGCUGGCUAAGCGGGUGUCUCUUUCUGUCCUCACCACUUCAUGUGUGUCCCUCCCAAAGCUGCAUGCUUGGUCGAAGAGGACGACCAUCCCCAAUAGAGGAGGACUGGUCUUCCGUCAAGAGUAUACGAGUAGCUGCGCUCUCCUGCUAGAACCUCCAAACAAGCGCUCAAGGACAUGAAAAUAGAUAAGGAAGUAGAAUGAAGAAUGAAGAGGGAAGUUCAUUUUUUGAGGCAACUAAAAUGAUCUUU